RNAcentral lists this long non-coding RNA (1365 nucleotides) under Homo sapiens (human). Its description in RNAcentral is "non-protein coding lnc-FAP-3:1". The record is from RNAcentral. Lineage: Eukaryota; Metazoa; Chordata; Mammalia; Primates; Hominidae.
UGCAGUGAGCCGAGAUCAUGCCACUGCACUCUGGCCUGGGUGUCAGAGCAAGACUCCGUCUCAAAAAAAAAAAAAAAAGAUUAAAUGAAUCAUAAGAAUGGGGCCUUAAUCUGAUAGAAUUGUGGCCUUUUAAGAAGAGGAAGAAAGAGAAAAAGAGAAACAUCUGUCUCUUUCUCUCUCUUAACCGUGUGAGGACGCAGGGAGAACGUGGCCAUCUGCAAAUCAAGGAGAGAGUCCUCAUCAGACAUUGACCCUGCUGUCACCUUGAUCUUGGACUUCCAGUGCCCAGAACUGUGAGAAAAGAAGUGUCUGUUGUUUCAGCCACUCAGUUGAUGGUGUUUUAUUAUGGCAGCAUAAACAGACUACUGUAGGAGCUUAGACUCUGGGUCCUGAUACAUAUCGGAUCCUGAUGCUUAUCAAAUCCAGGCUCCUUCCUUGAAUGUGUGACCUUUGGCCAGGUUCUCGACUUCUCUAUGCCUCAGUUUACUCCUCAGUAAAAUGGAGAUAAUAAUAUUACUUAUCACCUCAGUAAAAUGGAGACAAUAAUAUUACUUACCAUCUAGGUUUAUUUUGAGACUUAAAUAACUUAAUGUAUGUAAAGUAUUUAUAUUGUGAGUGCAAAAUAAAUUAACUAUUAUAAUAGUCCCUAAUGUACUUAAUAUCUAACUGCAAACAUUGCCAAGUUUUCUUCUUGUCCAAAGUCACAACAGUUUUCUUUAGGAAAUUUUCCAUACAAAGUGGGGCACAUUUUCACUGGGUUCUUUAAGAUGAGAUAAUAAAAAAUGAUACGUUAGAAAAUUUUCCUUAUGGCAUCAGUCUUCUCUGACAGAUUGCAGCUUCAUAAAGGCAAAAACUCUUGAUUUUCUUUUUAACCCACAUAAGCCCUUAAUAAAAUACCCAUUACAUGUAGUUGAAGUAAGAAAAGCUGGAAGUGAGGAAUGGAGGAAAGAAGAAAAGAGGGGCACAAAAUAUUUCAUUAAAUGUUUUAAAAAUCCCCAGAAAUUCAGAAUACAUGAAUAUAGGCUGACAUUAAAGCAGAUGUACGUCUCGUGCAGAACACACAGUGAGGAAACAAAAUGGCAAGAGCAAAGCUAAAGAAAACUACCAAAUUUGCAUUUUCAUUAAUUCAGCCUUAAAUGUAACUUUGUGUCACUGAAUAAGUGACUUACUUCCUAAACAUGACGGUCAGACAGGAAAUCACUUUUCUUGUGAUUAGCAUAAUGCUUAUAUUGUUUUUUUAGCUACAGUCUAAUCAUUACAAAGAACUACUCGUUGUGUCCAUAUUAAAAUUAAAAGUACCUUGCCAUAACAAAAGCACAUUCUAAGCCUUUCGAAAUGUCAACAUAUUAAAAUAUAUUAAAGCAA